GAUUUUUUUCUUCACGGUUCUUGGAGGAUUUCUUGAGGAUUGACCUUAAUUUCUUGAACUAGGGUUUUGGCCUCUUUGAGAUAGAAUGUUUUAAAUCUUGAGAAAAUUGAGUGCAUAAUGAUAUUAUAGGGUAUUUAGUGAAUAAUUUUGUGUUUACGCUGAUCUGGGUCAUGGAAAAAGAUCUUAUUACCCCUGAAUAUUUUUUAUUUUUGUCACUGAAAACUCAAUUAUGGGCCCUAGUACGAUGCGCCGCGAUCGAUCCA
This 263-nucleotide long non-coding RNA is filed under the name Capsicum annuum. Its description in RNAcentral is "long non-coding RNA (CANN_LNC017728)". Lineage: Eukaryota; Viridiplantae; Streptophyta; Magnoliopsida; Solanales; Solanaceae. The record is from RNAcentral.